AGCGAACGCUGGCGGUAGGCUUAACACAUGCAAGUCGAACGGCAGCACAGUAAGAGCUUGCUCUUACGGGUGGCGAGUGGCGGACGGGUGAGGAAUACAUCGGAAUCUACUUUUUCGUGGGGGAUAACGUAGGGAAACUUACGCUAAUACCGCAUACGACCUACGGGUGAAAGCAGGGGAUCUUCGGACCUUGCGCGAUUGAAUGAGCCGAUGUCGGAUUAGCUAGUUGGCGGGGUAAAGGCCCACCAAGGCGACGAUCCGUAGCUGGUCUGAGAGGAUGAUCGGCCACACUGGAGCUGAGACACGGUCCAGGCUCCUACGGGAGGCAGCAGUGGGGAAUAUUGGACAAUGGGCGCAAGCCUGAUCCAGCCAUACCGCGUGGGUGAAGAAGGCCUUCGGGUUGUAAAGCCCUUUUGUUGGGAAAGAAAAGCAGCAGGUUAAUACCCCGCUGUUCUGACGGUACCCAAAGAAUAAGCACCGGCUAACUUCGUG
This 492-nucleotide ribosomal RNA is filed under the name uncultured bacterium. Its description in RNAcentral is "partial 16S ribosomal RNA". It matches the Rfam family "Bacterial small subunit ribosomal RNA", at positions 29 to 507 of the family's 1533-position model. The record is from RNAcentral.